GAUGAGCGCUGGCGGCGUGCCUAAUACAUGCAAGUAGAACGCUGAAGGAAGGAGCUUGCUCUUUCCGGAUGAGUUGCGAACGGGUGAGUAACGCGUAGGUAACCUGCCUGGUAGCGGGGGAUAACUAUUGGAAACGAUAGCUAAUACCGCAUAACAGUAGAUGUUGCAUGAUAUCUACUUAAAAGGUGCAAUUGCACCACUACCAGAUGGACCUGCGUUGUAUUAGCUAGUUGGUGAGGUAACGGCUCACCAAGGCGACGAUACAUAGCCGACCUGAGAGGGUGAUCGGCCACACUGGGACUGAGACACGGCCCAGACUCCUACGGGAGGCAGCAGUAGGGAAUCUUCGGCAAUGGACGGAAGUCUGACCGAGCAACGCCGCGUGAGUGAAGAAGGUUUUCGGAUCGUAAAGCUCUGUUGUAAGAGAAGAACGAGUGUGAGAGUGGAAAGUUCACACUGUGACGGUAUCUUACCAGAAAGGGACGGCUAACUACGUG
RNAcentral lists this ribosomal RNA (497 nucleotides) under uncultured bacterium. Its description in RNAcentral is "partial 16S ribosomal RNA". It matches the Rfam family "Bacterial small subunit ribosomal RNA", at positions 28 to 507 of the family's 1533-position model. The record is from RNAcentral.